Molecule: ribosomal RNA, 503 nt
Filed under: uncultured bacterium
Lineage: Bacteria
Description: bacterial SSU rRNA
Rfam family: Bacterial small subunit ribosomal RNA
Source: RNAcentral
AUUGAACGCUGGCGGCGUGCUUAACACAUGCAAGUCGAUCGGUAACAGGUGUAGCAAUACAUGCUGACGAGAGGCGGACGGGUGAGUAAUGCUUGGGAAUCUGCCUAUUAGUGGGGGACAACCCGGGGAAACUCGGGCUAAUACCGCAUACGCUCUACGGAGGAAAGCCGGGGACCGCAAGGCCUGGCGCUAAUAGAUGAGCCCAAGUCGGAUUAGCUAGUUGGUAGGGUAACGGCCUACCAAGGCGACAAUCCGUAGCUGGUCUGAGAGGACGACCAGCCACACCGGAACUGAGACACGGUCCGGACUCCUACGGGAGGCAGCAGUGGGGAAUAUUGGACAAUGGGGGCAACCCUGAUCCAGCGACGCCGCGUGGGUGAAGAAGGCCUGCGGGUUGUAAAGCCCUUUCGGUGGGGAAGAAAAGUCUCGACCUAAUACGUCGGGACCUUGACGUAACCCACUAAAGAAGCACCGGCUAACUCUGUGCCAGCAGCCGCGGUAAC